GUCCCAGUCGGUGGCCGUGGAAACCGCGCCGAGGCUCGCGAGCAGCAACAAGCAGCGCGUCGCGAGCUCCAUGAUCCGGAGAAGCAGCGGAGGGGCGACACGGUGAGAUACACAGCAGCAGCAGCAGCAGCGCUCAGAGUGACGAUCCCGUGGCCGAAGGUUUGUGCACGCCUGGCCAGCACACCCAUGUCUAAUACCUAGGACCCUGUGCGUAAAGCCUGCUCCAUGAAGAUAUAAUGUGCCAAGAUUGACAUAGAACAACUCAAGUGUCCUGCAUCCUGACUGAAAACCUCAGGGAUUAAUUGGAUCACCAACAACACCCCAGGUCUUCUUGCCUAGCAUCAGUGCCUGACCUCACUAACGCUCUUGUAGCUGAAUGAACACAAAUCCACACAACCACACAUCAACAUCUAGUGGAAAGUUAUCAUAACAGCAAAGGAAGAAUAAAUCUGAAAUGGGAUAUUCACCAAGCACAUAUGGAUGUGAUGCUUAUCCGAGCUACCUCGGGUCAUGGAGAGCCUGUGCCUAUCUCAGGCGUCAUCGGGCAUCAAGGCAGGAUACACCCUGGACGGAGUGCCAACCCUUCGCAGGGCACACACACACACACUCAUUCACUUACGCAAUCACACACUACGGACAAUUUUCCAGAGAUGCCAAUCAACCUACCAUGCAUGUCUUUGGACCGGGGGAGGAAACCGGAGUACCCAGAGGAAACCCCCGAGGCACGGGGAGAACAUGCAAACUCCACACACACAAGGUGGAGGUGGGAAUCGAACCCCGACCCUGGAGGUGUGAGGCAAACGUGCUAACCACUAGGCCACUGUGCCCCCACAGUCAUCCUUCUUUAUUAUAUUUUUUCCAGAAAUGUAAGAAUAAUAAAAAUUUCCCACCACAUUACCAUCUCUCAGUCUGGUGUUUUAAUCACAAUCAUGAUUUUUGGUAUCUUCUGCUAAAUAAC
Molecule: long non-coding RNA, 958 nt
Organism: Tachysurus vachellii
Lineage: Eukaryota; Metazoa; Chordata; Actinopteri; Siluriformes; Bagridae
Exons: 3
Source: RefSeq, a predicted model, not a curated record